Molecule: ribosomal RNA, 497 nt
Filed under: uncultured bacterium
Lineage: Bacteria
Description: partial 16S ribosomal RNA
Rfam family: Bacterial small subunit ribosomal RNA
Source: RNAcentral
GAUGAACGCUGGCGGCGUGCCUAAUACAUGCAAGUCGAGCGAACAGACGAGGAGCUUGCUCCUCUGACGUUAGCGGCGGACGGGUGAGUAACACGUGGAUAACCUACCUAUAAGACUGGGAUAACUUCGGGAAACCGGAGCUAAUACCGGAUAAUAUAUUGAACCGCAUGGUUCAAUAGUGAAAGACGGUUUUGCUGUCACUUAUAGAUGGAUCCGCGCCGCAUUAGCUAGUUGGUAAGGUAACGGCUUACCAAGGCAACGAUGCGUAGCCGACCUGAGAGGGUGAUCGGCCACACGGGAACUGAGACACGGUCCAGACUCCUACGGGAGGCAGCAGUAGGGAAUCUUCCGCAAUGGGCGAAAGCCUGACGGAGCAAUGCCGCGUGAGUGAUGAAGGUCUUCGGAUCGUAAAACUCUGUUAUUAGGGAAGAACAAAUGUGUAAGUAACUAUGCACGUCUUGACGGUACCUAAUCAGAAAGCCACGGCUAACUACGUG